This 766-nucleotide ribosomal RNA is filed under the name Streptomyces sp. RNAcentral describes it as "bacterial SSU rRNA". It matches the Rfam family "Bacterial small subunit ribosomal RNA", at positions 56 to 844 of the family's 1533-position model. The record is from RNAcentral. Lineage: Bacteria; Bacillati; Actinomycetota; Actinomycetes; Kitasatosporales; Streptomycetaceae.
UGCAAGUCGAACGAUGAACCACUUCGGUGGGGAUUAGUGGCGAACGGGUGAGUAACACGUGGGCAAUCUGCCCUGCACUCUGGGACAAGCCCUGGAAACGGGGUCUAAUACCGGAUACUGACCUGCCUGGGCAUCCAGGCGGUUCGAAAGCUCCGGCGGUGCAGGAUGAGCCCGCGGCCUAUCAGCUUGUUGGUGAGGUAAUGGCUCACCAAGGCGACGACGGGUAGCCGGCCUGAGAGGGCGACCGGCCACACUGGGACUGAGACACGGCCCAGACUCCUACGGGAGGCAGCAGUGGGGAAUAUUGCACAAUGGGCGCAAGCCUGAUGCAGCGACGCCGCGUGAGGGAUGACGGCCUUCGGGUUGUAAACCUCUUUCAGCAGGGAAGAAGCGAAAGUGACGGUACCUGCAGAAGAAGCGCCGGCUAACUACGUGCCAGCAGCCGCGGUAAUACGUAGGGCGCAAGCGUUGUCCGGAAUUAUUGGGCGUAAAGAGCUCGUAGGCGGCUUGUCACGUCGGUUGUGAAAGCCCGGGGCUUAACCCCGGGUCUGCAGUCGAUACGGGCAGGCUAGAGUUCGGUAGGGGAGAUCGGAAUUCCUGGUGUAGCGGUGAAAUGCGCAGAUAUCAGGAGGAACACCGGUGGCGAAGGCGGAUCUCUGGGCCGAUACUGACGCUGAGGAGCGAAAGCGUGGGGAGCGAACAGGAUUAGAUACCCUGGUAGUCCACGCCGUAAACGGUGGGCACUAGGUGUGGGCAACAUUUCCAC